Molecule: ribosomal RNA, 229 nt
Filed under: uncultured bacterium
Lineage: Bacteria
Description: partial 16S ribosomal RNA
Rfam family: Bacterial small subunit ribosomal RNA
Source: RNAcentral
UUGAACGCUGGCGGCAUGCCUUACACAUGCAAGUCGAACGGUAGAGGGGCAACCCUUGAGAGUGGCGAACGGGUGAGUAAUAUAUCGGAACGUGCCCAGUCGUGGGGGAUAACGCAGCGAAAGCUGCGCUAAUACCGCAUACGAUCUAUGGAUGAAAGCGGGGGAUCGCAAGACCUCGCGCGAUUGGAGCGGCCGAUAUCAGAUUAGGUAGUUGGUGGGGUAAAGCCCA